This 2975-nucleotide ribosomal RNA is filed under the name Capsicum baccatum. RNAcentral's name for it is "bacterial LSU rRNA". It matches the Rfam family "Bacterial large subunit ribosomal RNA". Lineage: Eukaryota; Viridiplantae; Streptophyta; Magnoliopsida; Solanales; Solanaceae. The record is from RNAcentral.
GGAAAGUCUUACGGUGGAUACCUAGGCACCCAGAGAUGAGGAAGGGCGUACUAAUUGAUGAAAUGCUUUGGUGAUUUGAAAAUAAGCAUAGAUCCUGAAAUUCCCAAAUAGGGAAGCCUUUUGAACUGUUGCUGAAUCCAUAGGCAGGAAAGAGACAAUCGGGGAAUUGAAACAUCUUAGUAUCUAGAGGAAAAGAAAGCAAAAGUGAUCUCGUAGUAACGGGAAGCGAAAUGGUGCAGCCUAAAUGAUGAAAAUGGGGUUGUGGGAGACCAACACAAGCAUUGUGCUACUAGGUGUAACAACCUGAAUGUUACACCCUAUAUGGGAAAAGUGCAGUAGUCAAAAGCACUACUAGAUUACGCUCUAAACUGAGUAGCAUGAGGCAUGUGGAAUCCUUUAUGAAUCAACAAGGACCACCUUGCAAGGAUAAAUACUCCUGGGUGACUGAUAGCGAAGUAGUACCGUAAGGAAAGGAGAAAAGAACCAUCAUUGGGGAAUGAAAUAGAACAUAAAACCAUAAGCUCUGAAGCAGUGGGAGGAUCUAGGGCUCUGAUCACGUGCCUAUUGAAGAAUGAGUCGGUGACUCAUAAGCAGUGGCUUGGAUAAGGAAAUCCACUAGAGCUGUAAAGAAAGAGAGUCUUCAUAAGGCAAUUGUUACUGCUUAUGGACCCAAAUAUGGGUGAUCUAUCCAUGACCAGGAUGAAGCUUGGGUGAAACUAAGUGGAGGUCCGGACCGACUGAUUUUAAAGAAUUAGUGGAGAGUUGUGGUUGGGGUGAAAUGCCACUUGAACCCAGAGCUAGCUGGUUCUCCCCGAAAUAUAUUGAGGCAUAGUAAUUGACUAGACAUCUAGGGGUAAAGCACUAUUUCUGUGCAGGCCUCGAGAUUUGUACCAAAUUGAGGUAAACUCUGAAUACCCGUAUGGCCUUAAAAAAGAGGGGUCAAAGUCAACUAGUGAGACGAUGGGGGAUAAGAUUCAUCGUCAGAGGUAAACAACCCGGAUCACCAGCUAAGGCCGCUAAAUGACCGCUCAGUUAUAGAGGAGGUAGGGUUACAGAGAUAGCUAGGAGGUUUGCCUAGAACCAACCACCUUUGAAAGAGUGCAUAAUAUCUCACUGAUUGAGCACUCUUGCACCAAAGAUAAAGGGGGCAAAACGAUCUGCCAAAGCUUUGGGUGUAAAAAUACAUUGAUAGGGGAGCGUUCUACCUUAAAGGGAAGACUCCACACGACCGGUGGUGGAUAAAGGGGAAGCAAGAAUGUCGGCUUGAGUAACGCAAACCUUGGUCAGAAUCCAAUACCUCAAACACCUAAGGGUUCCUCCACAAGGUUCAUCCACGGAGGGUGAGUCAGGGCCUAAGAUUAGGCCAAAAAGUGUAGUAGAUGGACAACAGGUGAAUAUUUGUAUACUACCCAUUAUUGUUCCCGAGGGAUGGAGGAUGUUAGGUUAGCCAAAAGAUGGUUAUCAAUUCAAGAAUGUAAGGUGUCCAGGCCUUUUUUUAUGGUAAGAAGGGGUAGAGAAAAUGACUCAAGCCAAUGUUCAAAUACCAAGCACUACGACGCUGAAGUAACCCAUGUUAUACUCAUAAUAAAAGCUCAAACGACUUUGAGAAAGAGGGAACCUAUACCCAAAACCAACACAGGUGGGUAGGUAGAGAAUACGUAGGGGCGAGAGAUAACUCUCUCUAAGGAACUCGGAAAAAAUAGCCCUUACAUCAUAAAAGGGGUCGCAGUGACCAGGCCUGGGCGACUGUUUACAAAGAAUACAGGUCUCUGCAAAGUCGUAGACCAUGUAUGGGGGAUGACGCCUGCCCAGUACUGGAAGUUCAAAGAAGUUGGUAAGCUGAUGAUAGGGGAGCCGGCGACCAAAGCCCCAGUGAAUGGCGGUCCUAACUAUAACAGUCUUAAGGUAGCAAAAUUCCCUAUCAGGUAAGUUCCGACCUACAAAAAAGGCGUAAUGAUCUGGUCACUAUCUCGAAGAGAGGCUUGGUAAAAUAGAUAUGUCUGAGAAGAUGCAGACUACCUACACCUGGAAAUAAAGACCCUAUAAAGCUUCACUGUUCCCUAGGAUUGGAUUUGGGCCUUUCCUGUGCAGCUUAGGUGAAAGGCGAAGAAGGCCUCCUUUCGAGGGGGGCCGAGCCAUCAGUGAGAUACCACUCUAGAAGGGUUAGAAUUUUAACCUUGUGUCAGGACCUACGGGCCAAGGGGCAGUCUCAGGUAGAAAGUUUCUAAAGGGAUUAGGCAUUUAAAAAGGUAAAGGAGGAGUGCAAAGGUUUCAUCGGGCCGGGCGGAGAUUGGCCCUCAAGUGCAAAGGUAGAAGAGAUCUUGACUUGAAGACCUACCCGUCGAGCAGGGAUGAAAGUUAGCCUUAGUGAUCCGAUAGUGCCGAGUGGAAGGGUGAUCACUCAAUGGAUAAAAGUUACUCUAGGGAUAAUAGGUUGAUCUUCUCCAAGAUCUCACAUCGAUGCAAAGGUUUUUUACCUCGAUGUCAGCUCUUCGAUACCUGGGGCUGCAGUAUGUUCUAAGGGUUAGGUUGUUCUCCCAUUAAAGCGGUACGUGAGUUGGGCUCAAAAUAUUGUGAGAUAAUUUAGUCCAUAUCUAGUGUGGGCAUUAAAGCAUUGAGUGGAAUUUUCCCUAGUAUGAGAGGACUGGGAAGGACGCACCUCUAGUGUACCAGAUAUCGUGCCCACGGUAAACUCUAGGUAGCCAAGUGCUAAGCGGAUAAAUACUGAAAGUAUCUAAAUAGUAAGCCCAUCAAAAGAUGAGUGAUAUCCUAUUCCGACUUCCCCAGAGCUUCCGGUAGCAUAGCCGAGACAAUCACGAGUUCUCUGCCCCUACGGGGAAGGAGCGACAGAAGUUUUUUAGAGAAUUCAAGAGAAGUUCACAGCGAGAAAAGUCGUUUAUAAUUAUGAUAUGUGUUAAUAAGAUGUGUAGUGAUGUAUGCAGCUGAUGCAUCCUAACAGACCAGUAGACUUGAAC